GAUGAACGCUGGCGGCAUGCCUAAGACAUGCAAGUCGAACGAGAAGGCCCAAUGAUGAUUGCGUGCUUGCACAAAAUCUGAUUUGGAAUUUCCUUCUAGUGGCAAACGGGUGAGUAACACGUGGGUAACCUACCUCUAAGACGGGGAUAACAGUUGGAAACGACUGCUAAUACCGGAUGUGAUCUACGGAUUAAAGGAGCCUUUAAAGCUCCGCUUAGAGAUGGGCCUGCGGUGCAUUAGCUAGUUGGUGGGGUAAUGGCCUACCAAGGCGACGAUGCAUAGCCGAACUGAGAGGUUAAUCGGCCACACUGGGACUGAGAUACGGCCCAGACUCCUACGGGAGGCAGCAGUGGGGAAUAUUGGGCAAUGGGGGAAACCCUGACCCAGCAACGCCGCGUGAAGGAGAAGG
This 409-nucleotide ribosomal RNA is filed under the name uncultured bacterium. RNAcentral's name for it is "bacterial SSU rRNA". It matches the Rfam family "Bacterial small subunit ribosomal RNA", at positions 28 to 413 of the family's 1533-position model. The record is from RNAcentral.